AUGACUUCAAGAUCCUCGCAGCAAAGUGCGGGACCGAUCAGCCUCAAGCUCAGCGGACCCGAUGGUUCCCUCAACGAUACCGUCGCUUCCCUCAGCCUUUUCGUCACCAACAGUUUCGACGCUCGUCGAGCUCGAGUCACCACAGUCAGCAACAACAACCUCGCCGCCAGCACCAGGUCCCGAAAGGUCGAGGCAAGAGCGCUACAGCUAUGCCACAACCCCAACGACGGGCCUGACGCCCACUCUCUCGGGGUUUUUUCUACCUUCACUACUACUGUCACUACCAUGCCUUUCCUAAGCUCGGACCAGAACUUUCCUCUCUGCUCUUUCCGCGAUCGCCUAGCUCCUUUCUACCACGAAUGGGAGUCUAUCACCUCAGAUGCCUGGGUUCUCCGCAUUGUCAGAGAUGGCUAUGCCUUGGAAUUCGAAACUUUGCCCCCCAUGGGUCACAUCCUCCACACUGACCCUUCACCGGAGAUAUGCUCCAAGGUCAACUCCCUUCUGGCGAAGGGCGCAAUCCAGCCUUCUCCUUCCGAGCAGGACACUCGAGGUUUCUUCUUGAGAUACUUUACGGUUCCCAAGAGGGGCGGAGGUCUUCGGCCCAUCCUCGACCUGCGAGCCUUAAACCUCUUCAUUCUGCCUUCAAAAUUUCGAAUGGUCUCGGUAGCCUCCAUUCUCCCAAUGCUCCGACACGGAGACUACUUUGCCUCUAUAGACUUACGCGAUGCGUAUUUCCACGUCUCGGUACGCCGAUCUCACAGGCGCUUCCUCUCCUUCAAACUCCUGGGACAGCCUUACCAGUUCACAGUUCUCCCUUUCGGCCUCGUCACGGCCCCAAGGGUCUUCACGAAGGUGGUCGCCGUGGUGGCAGUGCACCUAAGGAAACAGGGCAUAAUGAUCUUUCCUUAUUUGGACGAUUGGAUGAUUGUCGCAUCCGACCCCUCAUCCCUUCAAAGCCACGUUUCUCAGGCUCUCUCUCUUCUACAACGGCUGGGCCUUCAGUUGAAUAUCAAAAAAUCCCAACUCCUCCCGGCCACAGAAAUCCGCUUCAUCAGAGCUCUCUUCAACUCCAUCGCGGAAACCGCCUCCCUACCGAAGGACAGGUUCCUAGCCCUUCAACAACACCUUUCUCUCCUCCUCCGCAACCGCAGGAUCCGAGCCCACUCUGUCCAGGUCCUUCUGGGUCACAUGGCCUCCACGGUCAUGGUCACUCUUUUCGCCAGACUGCGUCUCAGACCUCUUCAAAGAUGGUUUAUAGACUCUUUCAAACCCCAUCGGCAUCCGAGCUCAAUGUUUCUCACGGUACCGGACCAAGUUCGCCUCUCCUUUCGUUGGUGGCAGGACCCAGCGAACGUUUGUGUGGGACUUCCCUUCCAUUCCCCCCUUCCGUCAGUCACCAUCACGACCGACGCCUCCAAUUUUGCAUGA
RNAcentral lists this long non-coding RNA (1428 nucleotides) under Anolis carolinensis (green anole). RNAcentral's name for it is "lncRNA (ENSACAG00000029387.2)". Lineage: Eukaryota; Metazoa; Chordata; Lepidosauria; Squamata; Anolidae. The record is from RNAcentral.